RNAcentral lists this ribosomal RNA (253 nucleotides) under uncultured bacterium. Its description in RNAcentral is "partial 16S ribosomal RNA". It matches the Rfam family "Bacterial small subunit ribosomal RNA", at positions 524 to 776 of the family's 1533-position model. The record is from RNAcentral.
UACGUAGGGUGCGAGCGUUGUCCGGAAUUAUUGGGCGUAAAGGGCUCGUAGGCGGUCUGUUACGUCGGGAGUGAAAACUCAGGGCUCAACCCUGAGCCUGCUUCCGAUACGGGCAGACUAGAGGUAUGCAGGGGAGAAUGGAAUUCCUGGUGUAGCGGUGAAAUGCGCAGAUAUCAGGAGGAACACCAGUGGCGAAGGCGGUUCUCUGGGCAUUACCUGACGCUGAGGAGCGAAAGUGUGGGGAGCGAACAGG